CUAGGGUUUGGUGCUUUGAAUAUCAUCCGUAGAGUGGAGCAUUGCUUCUUAGUCCUUGGAUGAUUGUCUUAUUUGAUUAAUCCUUUAAAUUGGUUGCUCUUAGCCUCUUGAUUCUUGAAUUUUACUUUGGAUUUGAACCAAUUUGGAUCUUGAUUUUGCUCAAUCUCUCAAUUUUCUGUAAAAGAGGAGAAAAAGUAUCAAAUUCUAUAUAA
This 212-nucleotide long non-coding RNA is filed under the name Elaeis guineensis (African oil palm). RNAcentral describes it as "long non-coding RNA (EGUI_LNC043764)". The record is from RNAcentral. Lineage: Eukaryota; Viridiplantae; Streptophyta; Magnoliopsida; Arecales; Arecaceae.